GAUGAACGCUGGCGGCGUGCCUAAUACAUGCAAGUCGAGCGGACAGACGAGGUGCUUGCUCCUCUGACGUUAGCGGCGGACGGGUGAGUAACACGUGGAUAACCUACCUAUAAGACUGGGAUAACUUCGGGAAACCGGAGCUAAUACCGGAUAAUAUAUUGAACCGCAUGGUUCAAUAGUGAAAGACGGUUUUGCUGUCACUUAUAGAUGGAUCCGCGCCGCAUUAGCUAGUUGGUAAGGUAACGGCUUACCAAGGCAACGAUGCGUAGCCGACCUGAGAGGGUGAUCGGCCACACUGGAACUGAGACACGGUCCAGACUCCUACGGGAGGCAGCAGUAGGGAAUCUUCCGCAAUGGGCGAAAGCCUGACGGAGCAACGCCGCGUGAGUGAUGAAGGUCUUCGGAUCGUAAAACUCUGUUAUUAGGGAAGAACAAAUGUGUAAGUAACUAUGCACGUCUUGACGGUACCUAAUCAGAAAGCCACGGCUAACUACGU
This 496-nucleotide ribosomal RNA is filed under the name uncultured bacterium. RNAcentral describes it as "partial 16S ribosomal RNA". It matches the Rfam family "Bacterial small subunit ribosomal RNA", at positions 28 to 506 of the family's 1533-position model. The record is from RNAcentral.